GCGAUGUCCCUGCGAGGAGUGGGGCGAAUACGGGGGGGGCAAGCAUGUGUCGGAAUGAGUGGGCGUAAAGGGGGCGGAGGCGGCAAGAAAAGUCAGAGGUGAAAUUCCGGGGGUCAACCCCGGAGCUGCAUUUGAAACUUUCUAGCUAGAGGGUGGUAAGGGAAAACGGAAUUCCACGUGUAGCGGUGAAAUGCGUAGAUAUGUGGAAGAACGCCGGUGGUGAAGACGGUUUUCUGUGCCAAACCUGACGCUGAGGCGCGAAAGCUAGGGGUGCAAACAGGAUUAGAUACCCCUGUAGUC
Molecule: ribosomal RNA, 300 nt
Filed under: uncultured Rummeliibacillus sp.
Lineage: Bacteria; Bacillati; Bacillota; Bacilli; Caryophanales; Caryophanaceae
Description: bacterial SSU rRNA
Rfam family: Bacterial small subunit ribosomal RNA
Source: RNAcentral